AGGAUGAACGCUGGCGGCGUGCCUAAUACAUGCAAGUCGAGCGGUAAGGCCCCUUCGGGGGUACACGAGCGGCGGACGGCUGAGUAACACGUAGGAACGUACCCCAAAGUGAGGGAUAAGCACCAGAAAUGGUGUCUAAUACCGCAUGUGCUCUUCGGAGGAAAGCUUCGGCGCUUUGGGAACGGCCUGCGCAUGAUUAGCUUGUUGGUGAGGUAAUGGCUCACCAAGGCGACGAUCAUUAGCUGGUCUGAGAGGAUGAUCAGCCAGACUGGGACUGAGAACGGCCCAGACUCCUACGGGAGGCAGCAGUAGGGAAUUUUCCACAAUGGGCGAAAGCCUGAUGGAGCAACGCCGCGUGCAGGAUGAAUGCCUUCGGGUGUAAACUGCUUUAUAUGUGACGAAUAUGACGGUAGCAUAUGAAUAAGGAUACGGCUAACUCCGCGCCAGCAACCGCGGUAA
RNAcentral lists this ribosomal RNA (459 nucleotides) under uncultured bacterium. Its description in RNAcentral is "SSU rRNA". It matches the Rfam family "Bacterial small subunit ribosomal RNA", at positions 26 to 523 of the family's 1533-position model. The record is from RNAcentral.